GACGAACGCUGGCGGCGUGCUUAACACAUGCAAGUCGAACGGAAAGGCCCCUUUUGGGGUACUCGAGUGGCGAACGGGUGAGUAACACGUGAGUAACCUGCCCUUGACUUCGGGAUAACUUCAGGAAACUGGGGCUAAUACCGGAUAGGAAUCCUUGCUGCAUGGUGGGGGUUGGAAAGCUUCGGCGGUUUUGGAUGGACUCGCGGCUUAUCAGCUUGUUGGUGGGGUAGUGGCUUACCAAGGCUUUGACGGGUAGCCGGCCUGAGAGGGCGACCGGCCACAUUGGGACUGAGAUACGGCCCAGAAUCCUACGGGAGGCAGCAGUGGGGAAUAUUGCACAAUGGGCGGAAGCCUGAUGCAGCAACGCCGCGGGCGGGAUGACGGCCUUCGGGUUGGAAACCGCUUUCAGCAGGGGCGAAGCUUGUGGUGACGGUACCUGCAGAAGAAGCACCGGCUAACUACGUG
This 465-nucleotide ribosomal RNA is filed under the name uncultured bacterium. RNAcentral describes it as "partial 16S ribosomal RNA". It matches the Rfam family "Bacterial small subunit ribosomal RNA", at positions 28 to 507 of the family's 1533-position model. The record is from RNAcentral.